Molecule: non-coding RNA, 768 nt
Organism: Podarcis muralis (Common wall lizard)
Lineage: Eukaryota; Metazoa; Chordata; Lepidosauria; Squamata; Lacertidae
Source: RefSeq, a predicted model, not a curated record
GCUCCGUGGACUGCAAAUAGGGCUUCCGAUUUGGUGGUACUUUCCCAGCCCGUGCUUGUCGGGGGUGGCCCCGUUUAAAUAAUUUGUUUGAGAGGAAAGUUGAUGGCACUCCCCUUCCUCUAGCCAUAAACCGAGAGUGGUAUGGUCCACUCGUCUGCGUACUGCGCUUGCGCUCAAGGAAAUGGUGAGCUAAGGAAGGGGAGGAUGAAAAAGGAGAUCCGAGCAAAGCUCGCUGGGUAGCGGUGGUUGGUAGUGCGCGUGCGCAUGAGUUGUCGGUGAAGCGUGAGAGAAAACCGUUGCACAAUAUGGCGGGGACGGGGGGGGAGGGCAAAGUUAUAUUGAAGCGCAUGCGCAAUAGCCGAAGCGUUUCUGUGAGCAUGUGACAGAAGCAACCUCCGUCUAAGGAAGAUGGUAGUGAGAGGACCUGGCAGUGAGAGGACUGCUUUAGAGAGCCAAAUAACAACUUCAGAAGAAAAGGUUUCACACAGGUCACACAUCUUGCCAAAAGAUGUCGGCUGCUGGGCUGACGACCGUGAUUGACGAACAGAAACAGACUUGGGAGUACUUUGCUUUCUUUUGGAUCUGCAGUCCUUUGCAAAAUGUCCUUGCUUAUUGCAGAACCAACAACGCUUGGCAGCUUUAAAUGCAGUUGUGUCACCACAAGUUUGCAUAUGGUGUUCCUCAUUAUUUCUGGAAAUAGGAGUGCUUAUGGCACAAGCCUCCCUUCUAUCCAACUUGCCCAUUAAUCUUGCCGUUACUCCUUCCACA